RNAcentral lists this ribosomal RNA (1372 nucleotides) under uncultured bacterium. RNAcentral describes it as "bacterial SSU rRNA". It matches the Rfam family "Bacterial small subunit ribosomal RNA", at positions 28 to 1381 of the family's 1533-position model. The record is from RNAcentral.
GAUGAACGCUGGCGGCGUGCCUAAUACAUGCAAGUCGAGCGAACGGACGAGAAGCUUGCUUCUCUGAUGUUAGCGGCGGACGGGUGAGUAACACGUGGAUAACCUACCUAUAAGACUGGGAUAACUUCGGGAAACCGGAGCUAAUACCGGAUAAUAUUUUGAACCGCAUGGUUCAAAAGUGAAAGACGGUCUUGCUGUCACUUAUAGAUGGAUCCGCGCUGCAUUAGCUAGUUGGUAAGGUAACGGCUUACCAAGGCAACGAUGCAUAGCCGACCUGAGAGGGUGAUCGGCCACACUGGAACUGAGACACGGUCCAGACUCCUACGGGAGGCAACAGUAGGGAAUCUUCCGCAAUGGGCGAAAGCCUGACGGAGCAACGCCGCGUGAGUGAUGAAGGUCUUCGGAUCGUAAAACUCUGUUAUUAGGGAAGAACAUAUGUGUAAGUAACUGUGCACAUCUUGACGGUACCUAAUCAGAAAGCCACGGCUAACUACGUGCCAGCAGCCGCGGUAAUACGUAGGUGGCAAGCGUUAUCCGGAAUUAUUGGGCGUAAAGCGCGCGUAGGCGGUUUUUUAAGUCUGAUGUGAAAGCCCACGGCUCAACCGUGGAGGGUCAUUGGAAACUGGAAAACUUGAGUGCAGAAGAGGAAAGUGGAAUUCCAUGUGUAGCGGUGAAAUGCGCAGAGAUAUGGAGGAACACCAGUGGCGAAGGCGACUUUCUGGUCUGUAACUGACGCUGAUGUGCGAAAGCGUGGGGAUCAAACAGGAUUAGAUACCCUGGUAGUCCACGCCGUAAACGAUGAGUGCUAAGUGUUAGGGGGUUUCCGCCCCUUAGUGCUGCAGCUAACGCAUUAAGCACUCCGCCUGGGGAGUACGACCGCAAGGUUGAAACUCAAAGGAAUUGACGGGGACCCGCACAAGCGGUGGAGCAUGUGGUUUAAUUCGAAGCAACGCGAAGAACCUUACCAAAUCUUGACAUCCUUUGACAACUCUAGAGAUAGAGCCUUCCCCUUCGGGGGACAAAGUGACAGGUGGUGCAUGGUUGUCGUCAGCUCGUGUCGUGAGAUGUUGGGUUAAGUCCCGCAACGAGCGCAACCCUUAAGCUUAGUUGCCAUCAUUAAGUUGGGCACUCUAAGUUGACUGCCGGUGACAAACCGGAGGAAGGUGGGGAUGACGUCAAAUCAUCAUGCCCCUUAUGAUUUGGGCUACACACGUGCUACAAUGGACAAUACAAAGGGCAGCGAAACCGCGAGGUCAAGCAAAUCCCAUAAAGUUGUUCUCAGUUCGGAUUGUAGUCUGCAACUCGACUACAUGAAGCUGGAAUCGCUAGUAAUCGUAGAUCAGCAUGCUACGGUGAAUACGUUCCCGGGUCU